UAGUCGCUACGAGCGCAACCUCGCUGUGUGUUAUAUGUGUCACACAGGAACUGCUGGUAUUAAGCCGGAGGAAGGUGGGACGACGUCAAGUCAGCAUGACCUUUAUAUCCAGGGCUACACACACGCUACAAUGGUCAGUACAAUGGGUUGCCAAGCCGCGAGGCGGAGCCAAUCCUAAAAAGCUGGCCUCAGUUCAGAUUGCAGUCUGAAACUCGACUGCAUGAAGUCGGAGUUGCUAGUAAACGCAGGUCAGCUAUACUGCGUUGAAUACGUUCCCGGGGCUU
Molecule: ribosomal RNA, 284 nt
Filed under: uncultured Anaerolineaceae bacterium
Lineage: Bacteria; Bacillati; Chloroflexota; Anaerolineae; Anaerolineales; Anaerolineaceae
Description: partial 16S ribosomal RNA
Rfam family: Bacterial small subunit ribosomal RNA
Source: RNAcentral